RNAcentral lists this long non-coding RNA (1138 nucleotides) under Aquilegia coerulea. Its description in RNAcentral is "long non-coding RNA (ACOE_LNC002148)". Lineage: Eukaryota; Viridiplantae; Streptophyta; Magnoliopsida; Ranunculales; Ranunculaceae. The record is from RNAcentral.
UGAACUAAAGCAAUUCAGGAAAUAUAAUAUUCCUUAAAUUAAAACAUCCAUUUAAUUAUAAAAUAGGUACCAACAACUUCUAAUAAUUGCUAAUCAAAAUGUAUCAACAUAAACUAAUAAUACUUAAAAAAUCCAUAUUGUUUGGAAUACAUGUUUACCAAAAAAAGAAAAAAAAAAAAAAAAAAUAAUCCUGUGAUCUUCAAAAGUCUUCAAUCUAAUAGCUAGUCAUCCAAAACCCUUCAAUCGACAAGCUAAAUACCCAAAGUUCUUCUAUCUGCAAUUUGAAAAAUGCACAUUGAUUAUUAUAUGUUGGCGAGAUUGUGGGUCCAUAACAAAAAAAUAAAAAAACAUAAGCCCAUUAACUGCAAAACUUGAUCCUAGGAUAAAUGUUGGUAGCAUCAGAACUAAGAAUAAUCAAAAACUGUGUACCACGUAAAAACGUUUAUCUACAAUAAAGAAACUACUGUCAUCUUUUGUAUAUACUAUAAGGGAUACUUCAGGUUCUAUUCUAAACAGGGUUUUAUUUCCAUGUAAAAGACAUACUACUCUUUCUCUCUACAUAUAGAGAAGAAAACUUGUGAAAAUCUAAAUUAUAAUCUUUCAAUUCAUGCACUUCAUAUUCAUACAAAAGGGGCUAAAACUCAUGCAAAAUAACACAUUAUAUCCAUACAUUUUAAAUGUAAAGUCUUACCAGGAAGAUUCACCAGUGAAGAACGACUGAAAAGCUGGAAUACUUGCUAACUGUAAUAGAAAUUCCUCGGUUUUAGCCUGUCGGGCAUUCAGAUUCUCUACUUGUGUAGAAAGUUGCCUCUCGGUUUCCUCUGCUUUUCGCCUAUACUCUUCAAAAGCUACAUUGUUGGAGUUGUAUACUACAGACUGUGAUGUUGAUAUAAACCCAUUUCCAAGUCCACGAAUGUAGUUACGUCUCUUUCCUAAUACCUCAUCACAUAUUUCAUCCUCGGUCAUUGGAUUAGACCCUUCUGCUGGAGGUGUAUCUUUGAGUAUCAACAUUUCAUCCUAUAAUAAAAUGCAUUCUCGUAAGUAUUAACAAUAAUAAUAUUAUCCAGAUAAAAUUCUGCACACAAAAAUUAGAUUCUUACAUAGUUUUUCUGUGCGAGAGGAGAAACCCAGCCCUUAN